Molecule: ribosomal RNA, 253 nt
Filed under: uncultured bacterium
Lineage: Bacteria
Description: partial 16S ribosomal RNA
Rfam family: Bacterial small subunit ribosomal RNA
Source: RNAcentral
UACAGGGGGUGCAAACGUUGCUCGGAAUCAUUGGGCGUAAAGCGCACGUAGGCGGUUCGUUAUGUCGGAUGUGAAAGCCCUUGGCUUAACCGAGGAAGUGCAUCAGAAACUGGCGAGCUAGAGUACGAAAGAGGAUCGCGGAAUUCCCGGUGUAGAGGUGAAAUUCGUAGAUAUCGGGAGGAACACCCGUGGCGAAGGCGGCUCUCUGGGACGGUACUGACGCUGAGACGCGAAAGCGUGGGGAGCGAACAGG